Molecule: ribosomal RNA, 253 nt
Filed under: uncultured bacterium
Lineage: Bacteria
Description: partial 16S ribosomal RNA
Rfam family: Bacterial small subunit ribosomal RNA
Source: RNAcentral
UACGAAGGGGGCUAGCGUUGUUCGGAUUUACUGGGCGUAAAGCGCGUGUAGGCGGGUCGUUAAGUUAGGGGUGAAAUCCCGGAGCUCAACUCCGGAACUGCCUCUAAAACUGGCGACCUGGAGCAGAGGAGAGGCGAGCGGAAUUCCGAGUGUAGAGGUGAAAUUCGUAGAUAUUCGGAGGAACACCAGUGGCGAAGGCGGCUCGCUGGACUCUUGCUGACGCUGAGACGCGAAAGCGUGGGGAGCAAACAGG